Molecule: long non-coding RNA, 825 nt
Filed under: Homo sapiens (human)
Lineage: Eukaryota; Metazoa; Chordata; Mammalia; Primates; Hominidae
Description: HSALNT0347721
Source: RNAcentral
AUGACUGGGGCAAGCAGAGACGUGCCCAUGAGUCAGGACUGCAGAAGAGCACUUUUUGCAUGGAAAGGAUAUCAAAAAUGAAGUACUCAAAGAGAACUGCAUCAUGAAGGAGAAACUUGGAUUUGUGAUUCAGGCAAGUCCAGGUUCAAAUCCUGGCUCUGCAAUUUACCAGCUGCAGAAACUUGGAUAUUUAGAACAGAUGAAGAUGAUCCCAAAUAAGGAUAUUUGGUGUCCCUGAAGUAGAGAACUCAAAACUAUGGAAUAGAAAGAGGAAGGACCUUCAAGCAUCUCAAAACAGAAAGUAUCAAAGAACUGAAACUCAUCAGAUCACCACAUCCAGACAGUGAGGCUGGACCACUAAUUCAUCAUGAUUGAUUCCAUGCUCCUCCCUAGUUCCUAGUUUCUGUUUUCUUGCAUAUUGUUACAUUUCUUCCCUGCUAUAUACACCUCUAGUUUUAGUAGUUCAGGGAGAUGGAUUUGAGACUGAACUCCCAUCUCUUUGGCUGUAGCACCCUAUUAAAAGACUUCCUCCUCCGUGAUAAUCCUUGUCUCAGUGAUUGGCUUUCUGUGUGGCGAGUAGCAGGAUCUAGACUGAACCCCUGGAUUUUCAGUAUCAGAAGUACUAUCUUGCCCUAAAGUUUAAGUGAUUAAACCAUUAUUACAUGUAUCAGCUAGGUUUAAGGUUUUAAGAAUAAUUGUUCCAUGGAGUUUAUUAUAUCCGCUUUGAAUCCUAGUAGAUUGAAAUCCUAGUUCUCCCACUUUCUUGCUAGAGACCUAGUGUAAAACAGAGACUCCAAAUUUAUCUUAUUUAUGAAGCAGAAAUAA